UGGGGAAUAUUGCACAAUGGGGGAAACCCUGAUGCAGCGACGCCGCGUGAGUGAAGAAGCAUUUCGGUAUGUAAGCUCUAUCAGCAGGGAAGAUAAUGACGGUACCUGACUAAGAAGCACCGGCUAAAUACGUGCCAGCAGCCGCGGUAAUACGUAUGGUGCAAGCGUUAUCCGGAUUUACUGGGUGUAAAGGGAGUGUAGGUGGCAUCACAAGUCAGAAGUGAAAGCCCGGGGCUCAACCCCGGGACUGCUUUAGAAACUGUGGAGCUAGAGUGCAGGAGGGGCAAGUGGAAUUCCUAGUGUAGCGGUGAAAUGCGUAGAUAUUAGGAGGAACACCAGUGGCGAAGGCGGCCUACUGGGCACUAACUGACGCUGAGGCUCGAAAGCAUGGGUAGCAAACAGG
RNAcentral lists this ribosomal RNA (403 nucleotides) under Lachnospiraceae bacterium. RNAcentral describes it as "bacterial SSU rRNA". It matches the Rfam family "Bacterial small subunit ribosomal RNA", at positions 355 to 776 of the family's 1533-position model. Lineage: Bacteria; Bacillati; Bacillota; Clostridia; Lachnospirales; Lachnospiraceae. The record is from RNAcentral.